Molecule: long non-coding RNA, 600 nt
Organism: Hippocampus comes (tiger tail seahorse)
Lineage: Eukaryota; Metazoa; Chordata; Actinopteri; Syngnathiformes; Syngnathidae
Exons: 3
Source: RefSeq, a predicted model, not a curated record
ACUCCGAGCCGACCGCAACACGGAGCGAUCAGGGAAAUCGAAAGGUGGUGGGAUUUGCUUCUAUAUCAACGAAGAAUGGUGCACUGAUGUCACGAAGCUCGACGCACACUGCAGCCCGGACCUGGAGUCGCCGUCUUUAAACUGCAAGCCAUUCUACUCGCCACAUCCACGAACAGGACGUGAGACGGCUCGUCAAGCAGCAGAAGAUCAAGAAAGCUGCGGGGCCCGACAAAGUGUUCCCCUCCUGCCUGAAAGUCUGCGCUGACCAGCUAGCUCUGGUCUUCACACAAAUCUUCAACAGAUCCCUGGAGCUGUGUGAGUUCCCAAGAAAUCGGCAACAUCGGAAGUGAACGACGAUAGGCCUGUCACUCUGACGUCUGUGGUCAUGAAGUCCUUUGAAUGCCUUGUGCUGAACCACCUAAAGAAUGCCGCUGGACCCUCUUCAGUUUGCCUACUGGGCAAACAGGUCUGUGGAGGACACAGUCAACAUAGGUCUGCACUACAUCCUCGAGCACCUCGACAGCACAGGGACCUACGCAAGGAUCCUGUUUGUGGAUUUCAGCUCUGCGUUCAACACCAUCAUCCCGGAACUCCUCACCC